UUGAAAGGGAAACGAUUGAAGUCAGUCGUGCUGGCGCGAAAUCAACCUUCUCGUCUUGAGAUCACAUGGCGUGGCGAGCCUCAAAACCGUCACGAAGCGUGAACUCUUGGUGAAAUGGAGCACUUUCGUGUCCGCUGGUUAACAUCAAUUUCGAACGUCAUAAAAAGGCUGGAGGGAUGUGGCUCCUUCGGGAGUGUUAUAACCUUUAGCGGAAUGUGGUGUUCGGGAUUGAGGAUUGCAACGAAUACCUUUAGGGCUGUUCCACCUGGCUUCUCUUUGGUAUCCUGGUGACGACAGCUUGCUGACGUCGUUAGGAUUCGCCUUUGAACAGGCUAGAGUGUGAGCAAUUCGUUAAGGAUGUUGACGUA
RNAcentral lists this ribosomal RNA (368 nucleotides) under uncultured Glomeromycotina. RNAcentral's name for it is "LSU rRNA". The record is from RNAcentral. Lineage: Eukaryota; Fungi; Glomeromycota.